UACGGAGGGUGCGAGCGUUGUUCGGAAUCACUGGGCAUAAAGCGCACGUAGGCGGUUCGCUAAGUCUCAUGUGAAAUCCCCCGGCUCAACCGGGGAAUUGCGCGAGAUACUGGCGAGCUUGAGAUCGGUAGGGGUGAGUGGAACUCCAGGUGGAGCGGUGAAAUGCGUAGAUAUCUGGAGGAACACCGGUGGCGAAAGCGGCUCACUGGACCGACACUGACGCUGAGGUGCGAAAGCUAGGGUAGCAAACGGG
This 253-nucleotide ribosomal RNA is filed under the name uncultured bacterium. RNAcentral's name for it is "partial 16S ribosomal RNA". It matches the Rfam family "Bacterial small subunit ribosomal RNA", at positions 524 to 776 of the family's 1533-position model. The record is from RNAcentral.